UAUCUUCGUAGUCCAGGAGUCGGGCCGAAGGUCAUAGUCCGGCCAUCCGGACACCCCCUAAUCCAGGACUCCCUCAGCUGGACUUGGUUUUUGCAUAAUCUGCGCCGGGCUAUUGCACAUCCCAAUGGGUUGGUCAUUCAUACAGAUGCCUGCAAAUGUUUAGAAGUGGCCGUGGACAAUGUGUUCCCUGGAGUAGAGCAUAGGGAGUGCAUGCAUCACCUUGCUGCAAAUUUGAUGAAGAAAUUCAAAGGAAAGGUGUAUACCGACAAUUUAUGGCCAGCAUCUUUGACUUCCAGUGUGAAGAAGCAGAACUACCACUUGAGGCAGUUAUACAUGAAUCCCAAAGUGAAAGAAUACUUGGAAACACACCACUCCAAGUUAUGGGCCAGAAGACAAUUCAGUGAACUGAGCAAAGUUGACUAUGUGCACAAUAAUCUAGCAGAGUCUUUCAACUCAACGUUUCGCAAA
This 468-nucleotide ribosomal RNA is filed under the name Triticum aestivum (bread wheat). RNAcentral describes it as "partial small subunit ribosomal RNA". Lineage: Eukaryota; Viridiplantae; Streptophyta; Magnoliopsida; Poales; Poaceae. The record is from RNAcentral.